GAAAAGGAGAAUGAAAGAUUAUGUAAAUUGAUAAUUGUAUAAUGUGGUCAGCCUGACUAGAUAUCCUGGGAGAUGGUGGACGGACCGGGUCCGUAGGGAACCCUACCGGGAUGGUGGUCUCUCAUACCGGACGGGGUAUGGAGACCUUAUGUGUUUUGGCGCCCAUACCGGACGGGGUAUGGGGACGGCCCAUUUCACCCUCAUACCGGACGGGGUAAUCAGGUUUAUAGUUUUGGCGCCCAUACCGGACGGGGUAUGGGGACGGCCCUGGAAUCUGGUUUCAAGUGUUAAGGGUUAACGGGUAGCGGGACCCCUAUGGAUCCCCAUGGAUACUAGUAGACUGGUAAAUGAGGAAAAUAUGUUGUGUAAUGAUUGAAUUACAAAAGGCGUGAUAAGUAUUAUGUUAUAUAGUUUAUAUGAUUUCAUGAUAAUGAUAAUGUUAUUACUUUCGUAUAUUGUUUUAUGAAUUUCACCGAGGUGAGUGGAUGGUAAAUGAUUUAUUAUUGGCAAAAGGAUUUGUUGUAAAUUAUGCUCCAUUAGUCUUUUUGUGUUUUCUACCCACCUUUACCUCCGUGACGGUGAGAUAUCGUGAUGUCUUUACUGGGCUAGUGUAGCUCAUUCCUUAUUUAAUCAUUUCAGAUCAUGAAGACAUUGUUCCCGAGCCCGUUCCGCAGGAGGACGACGAAGGGGACGCCUAAAGACUACGUAGCUAUAUUUAUAGUUCUUAUCUCGAUUAUCUCUCUUAGUUAGUUUGUAAUUUCAUGUUUUGAGUACGUUUUAGUUAUUGUGUAAGGGAUGUUAAUCAAAAUUUUGACUUCGCUUUCGCAUUUGAUAUUUUUAAUACACAUUUCAUUUUAAAUUUCCGGGACCGUUACAGUUGGUCUCAGAGCCGCAUUUCCUCGGACCCAUCCCUUACACCAUAGUGCCUUAGAGAAAUACUCACCGAUAUAUCGUUACUCAACCAUUCCUUGUGAAUGCAGGUACACGGGAAUGAAGAGAGGAAGGCCCCCACUAAACCGAGCAGCCCAAGAUAAUUCGCUUCGGGAGGAUUUAGACAGACUAUUUGAGAUAGUGGAAGCUCUCGUAGCUGCCCAGCAAAGGCGAGAGGAGAGAAGGGAGUUACCCGGACCUCCUCCGCUAUCGCAGGUUGAGCCCCCGCUACAGCAGGCUGAUCCCGAGCCACCCCGGCAGGAGCCUGUUCCUCCACAGUACCACCCGGCACCACAGCCGCGGUACGACCCGGUACCACAGCCACGGUACCAGCAGGCGCCGCCACAGCACAUUCCAGUACCCCCACCACAUCAGCAGGUGCCACCACAGGGUCCCCCAGUUCACCCUCAGCCGGCCCCAGUCCCUCUACCUCGGGACCCCGCUCCUUCCUUGAUCGACCCCGGCUUCAUAGAGAGGUACAGAAGACUGAACUCUUUUACUUUUGCAGGGGGAUCCUCUUUUGAAGAGGCCCAAUACUGGCUGGCAGAGACUGAGAGAGCUUUCGAGACCUUGGGAGUAGUUCCUAAGCAGAGGGCUGCCAUUGCCUCCUACAUGCUGGUAGGGGAAGCAGUACGCUGGUGGGAGCUCAAGCGGACCACCCUGCCUACACCAGCUACUUGGGAGCAGUUCCUAGCGGCCUUCCAUGCGGAGUAUCUCCCUAAACACAUCCAACACCUAAAGGAAAUGGAGUUUGCUCAAUUGGUCCAGGGAAACAUGACAGUGUCAGAGUAUGCCCGUAAGUUCCUGGAGCUGGGCCGACAUGCCCCGAAGACAUUGAUGGAUGAGGGCCGAAAAGCUAGGAAAUUCCAGUGGGGUCUCCGCCCGGAGAUCAGACAGCACUUACUGGUGAUGGAGCUCGAGACAUAUUUGGCAGUCCUGGCAAAGGCGCAGAUCAUAGAAAGGAGCUUCGACACCCGCCCUCAGCUAGCGGGAAGUUCCCGACCCUCAGCCCCGCUCCGCAGCCAGCACCUACCAUGCCUGUCCAACCCAGUAGAGCCCAGACCCGCGUCCAGCCCCUCCUCAGGCUACAGGGGCAGCACGUGGGAAGAUCUGUCAGUACUGCGGCAGGGAUCACGGGGACCGACCCUGUUACCGCCUCAACAACACCUGUCGCAUAUGCGGCAGUGCCCAGCACUAUGCAAGGGAAUGCCCUAGGAACCAGAAUCAAAGAAGGCCUCCAAUCCAGGGCAGAGUUUACAACCUUACUCAGAAGGAUGCCGACGCAGACCCGGACGUGGUACAUGGUAUGUAUACUAUCUCUGGCCACAUUGCUCAUGUUUUGUUUGAUACUGGUGCAUCACAUUCUUUUAUUUCACAUGUUCUUGCUUCCAAAAUUUGUGUAUCACCUGAUAGACUUGAUUCAUUAUUGCUUGUAUUUACCGUUGGGGGGGAGACAUUGCUAGGAGAGGUUGUCUACAGGGCAUGUGCCGUGGAGAUAGCAGAUAGAAAAUUGAGAGUAGACCUGAUAGGGUUAGACACGGGGGAUUUUGAUGUAAUCAUAGGAAUGUAUUGGCUAGCGGCGUAUCACGCCACCAUAGACUGCUUUAACAAAAAGAUUGUAUUUAAUCCUCCCAACGAGGAGCCAUUUACAAGUUAAUAAAAUUAUUCAGUACUGAUUUCCCCUAAUGGCAAGUUUUGUUAAUUCCUAGUGCCUCAAUCUUGUAUUUUCUCUAACUAGGUAAACCCAAGAAAGAAGUUUGUAUCCAAGAGAUUCCAGUAGUCUGAGACUUUCCAGACGUAUUUCCGGAUGAACUGCCCGGUCUACCAGCGGACAGAGAGGUCGAGUUCACCAUAGACUUACAGCCAGGUACCCAGCCCAUCUCGGUAGCUCCUUACCGAAUGAGCCGCAUCGAGAUGGAAGAACUAAAGAAACAGAUCACUGAGCUACAAGACAGUGGUUUCAUUAGACACAGCGUUUCCCCAUGGGGUGCCGGGGUUACUUUUGCAAGGAAGGGAGAUGGAACGUUGAGACUGUGCAUUGAUUAUAGAAGGAUAAACAAGGUAACAAUUAAGAACAAAUAUCCUCUUCCCCGGAUUGAUGACCUUUUCGAUCAGUUGUAGGGUGCACAAGUCUUUUCUAAAAUAGAUCUACGAUCAGGUUACCAUCAGGUAAAGGUAAGAGCAGAAGACAUCCCCAAGACGGCAUUCCGAACCAGGUACGGACACUAUGAGUUCCUGGUUAUGCCGUUUGGGCUAACCAGCGCCCCGGCCAUCUUUAUGGAUCUAAUGAACAGGAUCUUCAGAGAGUUCUUGGAUCAAUUUAUCAUCGUGUUCAUCGAUGAUAUCUUAGUCUACUCAAAAAGUAGAGAAGAACAUGUUCAUCAUCUUGCCCAAGUCCUACAGGUACUCAGAGAAAAGAAGUUGUAUGCAAAGUUGAGCAAGUGUGGAUUUUGGCUCGAGCAAACCGCCUUCCUAGGACAUGUUAUAUCGAAGGAAGGGGUGUCGGUGAACCCCGAAAAGGUUAAAACGGUACUUGGUUGGGAAAGACUUACAACAGUUAAGGAAAUUCGCAGUUUCCUAGGGAUGACAGGUUAUUACCACCGGUUUGUCGAAGAGUUUUCUAGUCUAGCAGCUCCUCUAACCCAACUCACAAAGAAGAAUGCAAAGUUUGAAUGGAAUGAGAACUGCGAAAGGAGUUUUUCAGAAUUGAAGAAGCGACUGACUACAUUACCCGUGCUGGCUCUACCGAGUGGAUCAGGAGGGUAUACAGUUUACAGUGAUGCCUCCUAUCUGGGCCUGGGUUGUGUCCUGAUGCAGCAUGGAAAGGUUAUAGCAUAUGGGUCUAGACAGCUAAAGAAUCAUGAGAAGAACUAUCCUACCCAUGACUUGGAGCUUGCCGCAAUCAUACACGCCUUGAAAACUUGGCGCCAUUAUUUGUAUAGAGAGACCUUUCAGAUCUACACUGAUCAUAAGAGUUUGAAGCACAUCUUCACUCAGAAGGAUCUCAACAUGCGUCAGAGAAGGUGGAUUGAACUCCUCAAGGACUAUGAUUGUGACAUCCUAUACCAUCCAGGUAAGGGCAACGUAGUAGCCGAUGCCCUCAGCAGGAAAAGUGCAGGCACCUUAGCCCAUUUAAUGGUUUCAGAAUGCAGGUCCAUUGGGGCCACGCAGCAGGUCCGACUGCGAGAUCUGAAGAGGGCCACAUGUUUGGGCCACCUAGCAGUCCAACCCGAGUUAGUCCAAAGAAUAAAGGAAGCCCAGUCAGUCGACUCCGCCCUAGUAACCCGCAAGAAGGAUGCAGAACAGGUAGUGAGCUCAGAAUUUCAGAUCUCUGUCGACGGAUUGAUUCGUUUCAAGGACAGAGUGUGUGUCCCAGACGACAGUGAGUUAAAAAGAGACAUCAUGAUGGAGUCUCAUAGUUCAAGGUUUGCCAUGCAUCCAGAAAGUACAAAAAUGUACCAAACGUGGGCAUCUUUGUAAUUUUCUCAUUAAUUAUUUAUUUAGCUUAUAAAAAAAAAAAGAGAAGCAGCGUGGUGGCGCAGGGAACAGGAGAAGAAGAAGGAAGCAAAGACGUGCAAGUCGCGAGCGGGAAGAGAUGGGUUUUCGUGAUUUUUGGAGAAUCUUCAGUGCGGGGAUACUGAUCUAAAUAGCUUCGCUCCACUAUAAAGAGCGAAACUCGAAACAGAGAAAGGAGGAAUCCCUGAGGCCAAAGGGGCGUAGAGAGAGGGAGGAGGCCGAGAAGAGAGAGCUCAUCUUCUCCAUGAAUUCUUCGCAAAAUACUCAGAAAAAUCCCCUCAAAUUGUUCUUCUCAUUCUUUAUUUUCCUUCUACUCGCAGAACCAAUUACUGGCCUCUACUAUUUGACAUAAGCACAAAUAUCACCCAUAUAUGUAUUUUCUUCAGCGCGACUCCAAGCAGCUCAGGCCAUCUCUGUCACAGAAGAAGCCCUCUCUCUGCUGUCCUUAAUUUCCGAGCGGCAAUCAUAUACAUUGCAGCUUAUCAUCACCGAGACCCAACCUUCAUCGCACAGUUGAUCGGAGCCGAAUCACCAAAACACGAACCUCACAAGAGAGCCGCCGCACCCGAGAGCACCGCCGCCGGUACCAGUAGUGCGUUUCAGUUCCCUGGGAAAAAUUCAGGGAAAAUUAGGGACAGCCUGUAGGCGCACUGUGAAGCCGUGUUCGGACCCCGAAACGAGUAAGGACCCCUCACCCUAUUUCCUAUCACGGUAUUAAAGUUCAGAAAUGAUAAAACGGUAUUUCUUGAAUCAACGAAUGUGUGAAAUUGCUUAAGGUCGCUAAUGGAGCCCGAGUCUAGUGUGUUGACGGUUAACUAUUAUUUGACAUAUUUUACAGUUUUAAAUGCAGUAUGAGGUCUGAUGUUUUUAUUUCAUUGUUUCGCGUGCAUAUUUUACUGUUUUAUUGAUUAUGGGUUGAAUGACUGAGAAACCGAUGCUGUAUGUUGUCUUGUUUGGCAUAAAUUACUGUUUGCUUGUUUGUAUGUAAAUUGAUGAUGCUGACUAAAGAAAAGGAGAAUGAAAGAUUAUGUAAAUUGAUAAUUGUAUAAUGUGGUCAGCCUGACUAGAUAUCCUGGGAGAUGGUGGACGGACCGGGUCCGUAGGGAACCCUACCGGGAUGGUGGUCUCUCAUACCGGACGGGGUAUGGAGACCUUAUGUGUUUUGGCGCCCAUACCGGACGGGGUAUGGGGACGGCCCGUUUCACCCUCAUACCGGACGGAGUAAUGAGGUUUAUAGUUUUGGCGCCCAUACCG
This 5700-nucleotide long non-coding RNA is filed under the name Carica papaya (papaya). RNAcentral's name for it is "long non-coding RNA (CPAP_LNC012630)". The record is from RNAcentral. Lineage: Eukaryota; Viridiplantae; Streptophyta; Magnoliopsida; Brassicales; Caricaceae.